Molecule: small nucleolar RNA, 107 nt
Filed under: Gossypium hirsutum (cotton)
Lineage: Eukaryota; Viridiplantae; Streptophyta; Magnoliopsida; Malvales; Malvaceae
Description: Plant small nucleolar RNA R71
Rfam family: Plant small nucleolar RNA R71
About the family: R71 is a member of the C/D box family of snoRNAs containing the C (UGAUGA) and D (CUGA) box motifs.
Source: Rfam by way of RNAcentral
AACCCAUGGUGAGGGCACCUUCUUAAUAGAUCCUUAUAUCUCUUCCAUGUAUCAUAAAGAGUUUCUAAAUACAUAUGCACAAAAGCAGAGAUAUCAUUCCUUAGUUU